Small nuclear RNA from Talpa occidentalis (Iberian mole), 164 nucleotides. RefSeq annotates it as U1 spliceosomal RNA. The transcript has a single exon. The record is from RefSeq and is a predicted model, not a curated record. NCBI's taxonomy places the organism in Eukaryota, Metazoa, Chordata, Mammalia, Eulipotyphla, Talpidae.
GUACUUAUCUGGCAGGCUAGAUACCAUGCUCACGAAGGUGAUUUUCCCAGGGCAAGGCUUAUCCAUGGCACUUGGGGUGUGCUGACCUCUGCGAUUUCCCCAAAUGUGGGAAACUCAGCUGCAUAAUUUGUGGUAGUGGGGGACUGCAUUUCUGCUUUCCCUUU